CUUGGUCAUUUAGAGGAAGUAAAAGUUGUAACAAGGUUUCCGUAGGUGAACCUGCGGAAGGAUCAUUAACAAAUCCAAUAAUUGCGGGAGAACGUGUUUGUUCUUUUUGCAAAUAUUAAUCCGCUGGCUGCUCUUAGUAGCAGCUGGCUGUGAUAUAAAUGCGUGAUAUGUUGACAGUGUGUGUAUAAUUAAAUAUUGACAACUUUUAACAAUGGAUCUCUAGGCUCUUGCAACGAUGAAGAACGCAGCAAAGUGCGAAAUGUAGUGAACAUAGCAGCACAAUUGUGAAUCAUCGAAUCUUUGAACGCACAUUGCGCCUCCGGUAGCUCGGAGGCAUGCCUGUCUGAGCGUCAUUUAAAACCAUGGACCCAGGAUUGGGUCCGUAUUGGGCGUCGCCCCCCUCUCCAGAGUGGCGCGUGGCCUCAAAGACAUUGGUCUCACAUGCGGACGAGCUCCCCUGGGACAGACCGCGUGGAGACCCUAAGCAUCUGACUUUGAUCUCAGAUCAGGUAGGACUACCGCCUGAACUUAAGCAUAUCAAUAAGCGGAGGA
RNAcentral lists this ribosomal RNA (552 nucleotides) under uncultured Ascomycota. Its description in RNAcentral is "eukaryotic LSU rRNA". The stretch from base 201 to 353 matches the Rfam family "5.8S ribosomal RNA". The record is from RNAcentral. Lineage: Eukaryota; Fungi; Ascomycota.